This is a long non-coding RNA of Bos taurus (domestic cattle), 377 nucleotides long. Lineage: Eukaryota; Metazoa; Chordata; Mammalia; Artiodactyla; Bovidae. The record is from Ensembl.
GGUCUGGAUGCCGGGGGCCCAGAGAAGGAAGAACCCCGUCCCCCGCCCCAGAGUCACACAGCAGCCGGGUCUCCCCUUUACCCCAACUCCCAGCCGCAAGGCCACCUGGGCGCUGCGGUGCCCCCGCGGCACGUAUAGCUAUUUGAUGUUGGAAGUGUGAAAGUGAGAUGGGCUCAGUGACCAGGCAAGCCUCAUGUAAAUGAGUGGCAGGAACUCCUUGACCUUCUGGCACAAACAUCCAAAACUGGGUUCCAGUCAGUUGGUGCAAGAAGAUCUCUGAAGAGGGCCUGCCGCUUGUUCUCACCAUCUGGGGUUUUGGCAGAAGGAGGAUCUGGAGUUUGUUCCUUCUGUUAAAAUGCAGGAUCCCUGUGGUGAUG